Molecule: transfer RNA, 69 nt
Filed under: Urocitellus parryii (Arctic ground squirrel)
Lineage: Eukaryota; Metazoa; Chordata; Mammalia; Rodentia; Sciuridae
Also listed under: 1 other name
Description: Spermophilus parryii (Arctic ground squirrel) tRNA
Rfam family: tRNA
About the family: Transfer RNA (tRNA) molecules are approximately 80 nucleotides in length. Their secondary structure includes four short double-helical elements and three loops (D, anti-codon, and T loops). Further hydrogen bonds mediate the characteristic L-shaped molecular structure. tRNAs have two regions of fundamental functional importance: the anti-codon, which is responsible for specific mRNA codon recognition, and the 3' end, to which the tRNAs corresponding amino acid is attached (by aminoacyl-tRNA synthetases). tRNAs cope with the degeneracy of the genetic code in two manners: having more than one tRNA (with a specific anti-codon) for a particular amino acid; and 'wobble' base-pairing, i.e. permitting non-standard base-pairing at the 3rd anti-codon position.
Source: Rfam by way of RNAcentral
GGGAUUGUGGCUCAGUGGUAGAGUACUCGCCUAGCAUGCAUGAGGUACUGGGUUCGAUCCUCAGCACCA